GAUGAAGAACGUAGCGAAAUGCGAUAAGUAAUGUGAAUUGCAGAAUUCAGUGAAUCAUCGAAUCUUUGAACGCACAUUGCGCCCCUUGGUAUUCCGAGGGGCAUGCCUGUUCGAGCGUCAUUAUAACCCCUCAAGCUCAGCUUGGUGUUGGGGCCUGCUGCACUGGCAGCCCUUAAAAUCAGUGGCGGCGCCAUCUGGCUCUAAGCGUAGUAAUUCUUCUCGCUAUGGAGUCCUGGUGGAUGCUUGCCAUCAACCCCCAAUUUUUCUAUGGUUGACCUCGGAUCAGGUAGGGAUACCCGCUGAACUUAAGCGUAUCAAUAAGCGGAGGA
Molecule: unclassified non-coding RNA, 329 nt
Filed under: soil metagenome
Description: partial contains 5.8S ribosomal RNA, internal transcribed spacer 2, and large subunit ribosomal RNA
Rfam family: 5.8S ribosomal RNA (bases 1-120)
Source: RNAcentral